GAUGAACGCUAGCGACAGGCUUAACACAUGCAAGUCGAGGGGCAGCGGGGUGUAGCAAUACACCGCCGGCGACCGGCGCACGGGUGAGUAACGCGUAUGCAACUUACCUAUCAGAGGGGGAUAACCCGGCGAAAGUCGGACUAAUACCGCAUGAAGCAGGGGCCCCGCAUGGGGAUAUUUGCUAAAGAUUCAUCGCUGAUAGAUAGGCAUGCGUUCCAUUAGGCAGUUGGCGGGGUAACGGCCCACCAAACCGACGAUGGAUAGGGGUUCUGAGAGGAAGGUCCCCCACAUUGGUACUGAGACACGGACCAAACUCCUACGGGAGGCAGCAGUGAGGAAUAUUGGUCAAUGGGCGUAAGCCUGAACCAGCCAAGUCGCGUGAGGGAUGAAGGUUCUAUGGAUCGUAAACCUCUUUUAUAAGGGAAUAAAGUGCGGGACGUGUCCCGUUUUGUAUGUACCUUAUGAAUAAGGAUCGGCUAACUCCGUGCCAGCAGCCGCGGUAAUACGGAGGAUCCGAGCGUUAUCCGGAUUUAUUGGGUUUAAAGGGUGCGUAGGCGGCCUUUUAAGUCAGCGGUGAAAGUCUGUGGCUCAACCAUAGAAUUGCCGUUGAAACUGGGAGGCUUGAGUAUGUUUGAGGCAGGCGGAAUGCGUGGUGUAGCGGUGAAAUGCAUAGAUAUCACGCAGAACCCCGAUUGCGAAGGCAGCCUGCCAAGCCAUGACUGACGCUGAUGCACGAAAGCGUGGGGAUCAAACAGGAUUAGAUACCCUGGUAGUCCACGCAGUAAACGAUGAUCACUAGCUGUUUGCGAUACAGUGUAAGCGGCACAGCGAAAGCGUUAAGUGAUCCACCUGGGGAGUACGCCGGCNACGGUGAAACUCAAAGGAAUUGACGGGGGCCCGCACAAGCGGAGGAACAUGUGGUUUAAUUCGAUGAUACGCGAGGAACCUUACCCGGGUUUGAACGCAUUCGGGACCGAGGUUGAAACACUUUUCUAGCAAUAGCCGUUUGCGAGUGCUGCAUGAUUGUCGUCAGCUCGUGCGUGAGGUGUUCGGCUUAGUGCAUAACCGAGCGCACCCUUGCCACUAGUUUACUUA
RNAcentral lists this ribosomal RNA (1095 nucleotides) under uncultured bacterium. RNAcentral describes it as "bacterial SSU rRNA". It matches the Rfam family "Bacterial small subunit ribosomal RNA", at positions 28 to 1121 of the family's 1533-position model. The record is from RNAcentral.